UACCGCGGUUAUACGAGAGGCUCAAGUUGAUAAAAAACGGCGUAAAGCGUGGUUAAGAAAACAUAAAAGAUGGGGUCGAACAACCUCAAGGCUGUCAUACGCAUUCGAGGCCACGAAGCACACUCAACGAAAGUAGCCCCACCAACCCUCUGACCCCACGAAGGCCAUAUGAA
RNAcentral lists this ribosomal RNA (173 nucleotides) under Melanonus zugmayeri (arrowtail). RNAcentral's name for it is "partial 12S rRNA". The record is from RNAcentral. Lineage: Eukaryota; Metazoa; Chordata; Actinopteri; Gadiformes; Melanonidae.